GAUGAACGCUGGCGGCGUGCCUAAUACAUGCAAGUCGAGCGAACGGACGAGAAGCUUGCUUCUCUGAUGUUAGCGGCGGACGGGUGAGUAACACGUGGAUAACCUACCUAUACGACUGGGAUAACUUCGGGAAACCGGAGCUAAUACCGGAUAAUAUUUUGAACCGCAUGGUUCAAAAGUGAAAGACGGUCUUGCUGUCACUUAUAGAUGGAUCCGCGCUGCAUUAGCUAGUUGGUAAGGUAACGGCUUACCAAGGCAACGAUGCAUAGCCGACCUGAGAGGGUGAUCGGCCACACUGGAACUGAGACACGGUCCAGACUCCUACGGGAGGCAGCAGUAGGGAAUCUUCCGCAAUGGGCGAAAGCCUGACGGAGCAACGCCGCGUGAGUGAUGAAGGUCUUCGGAUCGUAAAACUCUGUUAUUAGGGAAGAACAUAUGUGUAAGUAACUGUGCACAUCUUGACGGUACCUAAUCAGAAAGCCACGGCUAACUACGUG
This 497-nucleotide ribosomal RNA is filed under the name uncultured bacterium. RNAcentral describes it as "partial 16S ribosomal RNA". It matches the Rfam family "Bacterial small subunit ribosomal RNA", at positions 28 to 507 of the family's 1533-position model. The record is from RNAcentral.